GGGGAUUUAGCUCAGUGGUAGAGCACUUGCCUAGCAACCGCAAGGCCCUGGGUUCGGUCCCCAGCUCCG
This is a non-coding RNA of Rattus norvegicus (Norway rat), 69 nucleotides long. The record is from Rfam. Lineage: Eukaryota; Metazoa; Chordata; Mammalia; Rodentia; Muridae.